CAGAUGAUGGUGGUCAUUCCAUAGAUGAUGUAGUUGGCCAUGGUUCCUAUGCAACCGUCUGCAGCAAUGAAAAGGACAAUUAGAGAUACCCAAACAUAAUCUUGCAGCAGAACCAACCAAAUUAAGUGCAGCAAAGAUCAUCGGGUUACGUCUUUCAACAUUGAUAUGCGGCACUAACCACCUAAGGAGGUCGCAAACUAAGCAUUCUGUCAGCAGUCUUAUUCUGCAAUUCAUAGGAUAUUAACUCAGCAAUACCCAAGUGAGGAGCAAGAAGCCUAGCCCACAAGAAAAGGUGGAAAGGACAGCAGCAGCCGUUGAGAAAGACCACUGAGGAGGAUCAGCACAAAAUUUUUGGAUGCCAUAUAGGCUGAUAUGCUAUUGGAGUCCUGCUUAGUCUAUAGUCUGUUGGCUUUGUCCACAGAGGUAUUCAGCUGAAGAUUUAGGAAAGAAAAAAUCUCAAGCAGUCUGGUUUUGGU
This is a long non-coding RNA of Macrobrachium nipponense, 476 nucleotides long. RefSeq lists it as uncharacterized. The record is from RefSeq and is a predicted model, not a curated record. The transcript is spliced from 5 exons. NCBI's taxonomy places the organism in Eukaryota, Metazoa, Arthropoda, Malacostraca, Decapoda, Palaemonidae.